Molecule: ribosomal RNA, 529 nt
Filed under: uncultured bacterium
Lineage: Bacteria
Description: bacterial SSU rRNA
Rfam family: Bacterial small subunit ribosomal RNA
Source: RNAcentral
AGUGGGGAAUUUUCCGCAAUGGGCGAAAGCCUGACGGAGCAACGCCGCGUGAGGGAUGAAGGCCUCUGGGCUGUAAACCUCUUUUCUCAAGGAAGAAGAACUGACGGUACUUGAGGAAUAAGCCACGGCUAAUUCCGUGCCAGCAGCCGCGGUAAUACGGGAGUGGCAAGCGUUAUCCGGAAUUAUUGGGCGUAAAGCGUCCGCAGGCGGCCCUUCAAGUCUGCUGUUAAAAAGUGGAGCUUAACUCCAUCGUGGCAGUGGAAACUGUUGGGCUAGAGUGUGGUAGGGGCAGAGGGAAUUCCCGGUGUAGCGGUGAAAUGCGUAGAUAUCGGGAAGAACACCAGUGGCGAAGGCGCUCUGCUGGGCCAUAACUGACGCUCAUGGACGAAAGCCAGGGGAGCGAAAGGGAUUAGAUACCCCUGUAGUCCUGGCCGUAAACGAUGAACACUAGGUGUCGGGGGAAUCGACCCCCUCGGUGUCGUAGCCAACGCGUUAAGUGUUCCGCCUGGGGAGUACGCACGCAAGUGUG